UUAGCAAAGCCACCUGCAGGAUCCACCUGCCACACCCAAGUCUAGACAGUUGCUGCUGGAAGCCUUCUGGUGGAAUCCACAGGGGGAGGCCAUUGAGCACAGGGCAUGGGCCUAGCAGCUCAGCAAGGAAAGACAGGGUCUCUUCCUACAUCUUUAAUGCAGCCAAGGACCCUACCAUCAAUGCCGCUCCAUCACAGAGAUUUCCAGAUGGGAUCAGGUGGCAGUCAGGAAGAAGUGGAUUCAGCAGUGUGGGCUUGAAUGGUAACUACAGAGGAUCAGAAGGGAAAGGAGGAAGGCGAUGAAGAAUGGGCCUUCAGUGCUUCAGAAGAAGGGAGGAGAAAAGCAUACAUUCUCAGGAGCCAGGUUAUGAAUGAAGAGAUCACUCCUUCCUGAAAUUGGCAGGCAACCAAAGGAAGUUCUGAAGUAGAAGACUCAUACAAUAAAGUUAGUCCAUCACAGCUGAUGGAGAUUUCUGUGGUGUAAUGUAGCCAUUUACUCUCUGUGGACUCCCAGAUGGUACGGGUAAUUUUACCUUAGAGGAGUUGAGAGCAUCAUAAAUAAAUUCGACUCAAAUGUCUUGAUCUAAAGCUUUUUCUCCUCCUUAUUAUGGAAGACAUCAAUGAA
Long non-coding RNA from Cygnus olor (mute swan), 624 nucleotides. RefSeq lists it as uncharacterized. The record is from RefSeq and is a predicted model, not a curated record. The transcript is spliced from 3 exons. NCBI's taxonomy places the organism in Eukaryota, Metazoa, Chordata, Aves, Anseriformes, Anatidae.